Molecule: long non-coding RNA, 602 nt
Organism: Salvia hispanica
Lineage: Eukaryota; Viridiplantae; Streptophyta; Magnoliopsida; Lamiales; Lamiaceae
Source: RefSeq, a predicted model, not a curated record
GAACUCAGCAUCGCAGCCUCACCUCAGCCCUGACGUCUCGCCUCAACCUUGACGCCUUGCCCGUCUUAGUGCAUCACAAAUACGAUCUGUUCAUCUUGUGGGCAACAUGCAUGGCCACCCUUUUAAGAACUACCCUAACCAGAAUGAAGAGUCAACAGAUAGGAGAUCAUGUUACAAUCGUGGAGAGAUGGGGCAUUUUAUGACUCCACUGCAGCCAACCUCUUCAAGAUGAUAUCUGUUGCAAGGAAGAAGUGAGUAUAGAGAAAAGAAGUGCAACCGCAACUUAGUUACUAGCUCAAUUAACUAAAGUGACACCUCAUCAAAUACGGUUAUACCGGUUGGGAGCUAACAACUUGAUAGCUGGAGCUGGAGAGAGAAGAAGCGGUAGCACGAAGAGUAUAAGACAAGAGAGAGGAGGCGAUUAGAGCAUUCAUUCUUGAAUUUGAUGUAUAUUGAGAGUAGGUCUCGAGAGUCCGGAGAUUCUAUUUGAAUGUAUCGUGUAUCUUUCUCAAUUGUAUCAUUCCUAUCUUGUACUCCCUCCGUCCAAGGAAGAUAACCCAUUUUUAGGGCGGUACAUGAUUUUGUGCAAUUUUAUUUUAUGU